Molecule: small RNA, 28 nt
Filed under: Bombyx mori (domestic silkworm)
Lineage: Eukaryota; Metazoa; Arthropoda; Insecta; Lepidoptera; Bombycidae
Description: ovarian small RNA-32093
Source: RNAcentral
UGAGAAAACUAGCUCUCUGAAUGUCCUA